Molecule: ribosomal RNA, 380 nt
Filed under: uncultured bacterium
Lineage: Bacteria
Description: bacterial SSU rRNA
Rfam family: Bacterial small subunit ribosomal RNA
Source: RNAcentral
AUUGAACGCUGGCGGCGUGCCUAACACAUGCAAGUCGAGCGGUAACAGGUGUAGCAAUACAUGCUGACGAGCGGCGAACGGGUGAGUAAUGCUUCGGAAUCUGCCCAUGUAGUGGGGAAUAACCAGCCGAAAGGUUGGCUAAUACCGCAUACGACCUACGGGUGAAAGCAGGGGAUCGCAAGACCUUGCGCUAUUGGAUGAGCCGAAGUCGGAUUAGCUUGUUGGUAGGGUAACGGCCUACCAAGGCGACGAUCCGUAGCUGGUCUGAGAGGACGACCAGCCACACUGGGACUGAGACACGGCCCAGACUCCUACGGGAGGCAGCAGGUGGGGAAUAUUGGACAAUGGGGGCAACCCUGAUCCAGCGACGCCGCGUGUGU